GUGCUCACUUUGGCAGCACAUAUCCCAAAAUUGGAACAAUAUACGGAGAAGAUUUGCGUGGCCCCUGUUCAAGGAUGACACACAAAUUCGUGACGCGUUCCGAACUUUG
Neogale vison (American mink) is the source of this 109-nucleotide small nuclear RNA. The record is from RefSeq and is a predicted model, not a curated record. NCBI's taxonomy places the organism in Eukaryota, Metazoa, Chordata, Mammalia, Carnivora, Mustelidae.